GCAUAUCAAUAAGCGGAGGAAAAGAAACCAACAGGGAUUGCCUCAGUAACGGCGAGUGAAGCGGCAACAGCUCAAAUUUGAAAUCUGGCCCCCCGGCCCGAGUUGUAAUUUGCAGAGGAUGCUUCGGGCGCGGUGCCUUCCAAGUCCCCUGGAACGGGGCGCCGGAGAGGGUGAGAGCCCCGUACGGUUGGCGGCCAAGCCUGUGUGAAGCUCCUUCGACGAGUCGAGUAGUUUGGGAAUGCUGCUCUAAGCGGGAGGUAGACCCCUUCUAAAGCUAAAUAUAGGCCAGAGACCGAUAGCGCACAAGUAGAGUGAUCGAAAGAUGAAAAGCACUUUGAAAAGAGGGUUAAACAGCACGUGAAAUUGUUGAAAGGGAAGCGCUUGCGACCAGACGUGCGCCGGGGUGCUCAGCGGGCGUUCUCGCCCGUGCACUCGCCCCGGCGCAGGCCAGCGUCGGUUCGCGUGGGAGGAUAAAGGCGCCUGGAAUGUGGCUCCCUCGGGAGUGUUAUAGCCAGGCGUGCCAUGCUCCCCUGCGGACCGAGGUACGCGUUCUGCAAGGACGCUGGCGUAAUGGUCCCCAGCGACCCGU
Molecule: ribosomal RNA, 589 nt
Filed under: Pseudophialocephala xalapensis
Lineage: Eukaryota; Fungi; Ascomycota; Sordariomycetes; Chaetosphaeriales; Chaetosphaeriaceae
Also listed under: 1 other name
Description: eukaryotic LSU rRNA
Rfam family: Eukaryotic large subunit ribosomal RNA
Source: RNAcentral